UUCUUAUCAUGACCUCACCGCUGCUCUGGGGAACUAUGCUGCUUGGAAGACUAACCACACAGGUUGUUUUUGGACGAGCUGGAUUAGACUAUUUACAUGGUAAAAUGUGUUUCUAUUUACGAAAAAUUCAAGAAACAUGCCACCUGAGGAUGUGUACCAUGUGGAUGCCACUUGAUCAUCUGAAUAUUCCAGGAUAUAUUAUACAUAAGGUAAACAUGUAAAUGUUGGAUACCCAUAGAAACAACAGAAGAAAGUUGUUGUUGCGAUGAGUCAACAUAUUCACCAGAAAAUGGCAGAUUAUCCAGACCAUCCACUGCAGUGCACCCAGGUUUUAUUACUAGCUGUCUGAACUUAUGAGUACUUGAGGUUGUCGAUCUCCAAUUCAGGGAACAGUAUCGGCAGUGACUGGAUUUUCAAUGACACAAACAGAGCUAUUUUAAAAAUUAUUAAUAUUAAUAUUUCUCCAAAUCAGCCCAUCUUUUUGCCAUUUACAGUCAGAUUUUUCAACAUAAAGAAUUGUUUAUAUUAUUAUUGUUCCUUAUAAAAGCAGCAUUCGUCCAAUCAAUGCUUGUUCAAACAAAGUCCCAUUUGGGAAAAUUGUCACAUGAGUAUAUUUUCUUAUUUUGAGGUCUAUACUGCUUAUAGAAAGCUUGUGAGAAGGCGCUGGGAAUUGUAGGUAGAUAAAAAUGCCACUUCCAUCCUGCUGUCUGAGAUUUGUGGCAGAUGGCCAAGAGUACACAGGAUUUAAAUGCGCUACAUGCUGAAUUAUUUUGUUUUGCCUUUGUGUAAAUGUCGAUGUAUAUGUUUGUUUAUUAAGUAAACAUACACCACAGAACAAAAAUCCUUGCAUU
Syngnathoides biaculeatus (alligator pipefish) is the source of this 851-nucleotide long non-coding RNA. RefSeq lists it as uncharacterized. The transcript has 3 exons. The record is from RefSeq and is a predicted model, not a curated record. NCBI's taxonomy places the organism in Eukaryota, Metazoa, Chordata, Actinopteri, Syngnathiformes, Syngnathidae.